AACGCACGAGACCUGCGGACCUGCGGAAGGAUCAUUAGUGAACGCCCUCACGGGCUUAUAACUAUUCCAAACCUCUGUGGACCGUGCCCUUCGGGGCUAUUUUACAAACAUGGUGUAAUGAACGUCAUAUAUCAUAACAAAACAAAACUUUCAACAAUGGAUCUCU
RNAcentral lists this unclassified non-coding RNA (166 nucleotides) under soil metagenome. RNAcentral describes it as "partial contains 5.8S ribosomal RNA, internal transcribed spacer 2, and large subunit ribosomal RNA". The record is from RNAcentral.